Molecule: long non-coding RNA, 1505 nt
Organism: Scomber scombrus (Atlantic mackerel)
Lineage: Eukaryota; Metazoa; Chordata; Actinopteri; Scombriformes; Scombridae
Exons: 3
Source: RefSeq, a predicted model, not a curated record
GUGAGAGUCGCGCUGACUGCAGCUUCAGACUGCGUUUCUAUUCACUAUCUGAACAAUUAAAGGUGAAAGUGAGUAAAAAAAUGGCCAACCUGUUGUGCAUCACUGUGACACUGAUCUUCCUUCUGUCUGAUGGAUGUUUGGCUGCAGUGGACCAGAACCAGCUUCCUAAUCUUAUGCUGCAGACAAAAAACAUGCUGAGCGGCAUACGAAAAAUGUACAGUGUGGCUGUAAGCGUGACUAAUGAGCAGUCAUAUAACCUACCAGCAACGUAUCAAACCAUCAUGCAACGGUUUAAUAAUGGAGUGUUUCAAGAUGACAAACUGAUUGUUGCCAUAAAAGGAGAAGGCCAGUGUCAUGCAGAGUGGCUUGCUUUGGGACAUGUUGAAAACAGUAAUUGGGUGGGGGGUCAUUUGUUGGUCAUUUUCUCAUAUGCCUCUCCUUGUUUUACAACAUGUACAAACAACAGAAACUCAUUUAAUAUUAUUGCAAAGAUUAACACCAUCAGAGGGACGAAUAAGUGGAGUAAUUAUGCAUUCGUGUUUGACAGAGUGUUUGUGCCCCGUGGUGCGGAUUAUGAUGAUGAAAUGCGCAGAAGAACAGGAGAAGGCCUCAAGAGACUGGGGACUUCUAUUGGGGGUCUUGCAAAUGUAUUUCGCUGUUAUAACCCCAGAGAUAAUUCUGGUUUUAAGUGUGUGAGCUGCUCCAGUGGUGGACAGGUUACAGCCGAAUGUAUUGAUUACAAUGCAUAAACUUGUCCCGGCCACAACAGGGGCUGAGGCAGGUACGUCAGGGUGUUGAAACGUUCUGGGGACCAAAGUGAUUCAGAUCAGAUGGAUUCAUUAGAACCUGAGCACCUCACCCUCAAGAUUAUCUGCGCUAAGCAAUGCUACUCUUCACCAUUUUUUAUAUUUUCCUCUUAUUUUUAUGAGUAAACAUGACUACCAUGACUCAGUUUUGAGGUAAUUUCCAAUCAUUUAUUUGAAUUUCCAAUUUGUUCAUAUUUACAUUUUUUGAUCCAACAAUCCAUCAAUUAAAAAAAGAAAGAAAAACAAAACAGUUCCUAAAUCUCAAUAAUGUGUUGAUCUGAAGGAUGAUAAGUGUUAAAUGGAUCACAAUGCUUCAAUUUUAAAAUAAAAAUUUAUUUUUAUUAAAUUAAAAUAAAAUAAAAGAGGCAUUUGGUGCUGGGUGAGUAGAUGUGUUGACUCCACUCCAAUUAAAACAUGAUUCUUAUUCACCAAACCACUCACAGGGAAUAAGACCUCUGACCCCCAAUGUCAAUUUAAGCUGGUAGAAAAAUAACUCUGUGUGUUAUAGAUUAUUUUCAUGUAGUUACCAAUUUAUUGUAACAUUCUGUAUUUACUUUGGUAAACUGAAAUAAGGAAAAAGUAGGUUUUGUGUAAAGUAUUUACAGUACUCAUGUCAUUGUAUUCAUUCAUGUAUUCAAUCAUCCUGUAAAGCAUUGAAAAUCCUCUCAUGUUCUGUUUUUCUGAUUAAAGCUUGGCUCA